AUUGAACGCUGGCGGAAUGCUUUACACAUGCAAGUCGAACGGCAGCACGGGGGCAACCCUGGUGGCGAGUGGCGAACGGGUGAGUAAUACAUCGGAACGUGCCCGGUCGUGGGGGAUAACGUAGCGAAAGUUACGCUAAUACCGCAUACGAUCUGAGGAUGAAAGCGGGGGACCUUCGGGCCUCGCGCGAUCGGAGCGGCCGAUGUCAGAUUAGGUAGUUGGUGGGGUAAAGGCCUACCAAGCCGACGAUCUGUAGCUGGUCUGAGAGGACGACCAGCCACACUGGGACCGAGACACGGCCCAGACUCCUACGGGAGGCAGCAGUGGGGAAUUUUGGACAAUGGGCGCAAGCCUGAUCCAGCCAUUCCGCGUGCAGGACGAAGGCCUUCGGGUUGUAAACUGCUUUUGUAUGGAACGAAAAGGCUCUGGCUAAUACCUGGGGCUCAUGACGGUACCGUAAGAAUAAGCACCGGCUAACUACGUG
Molecule: ribosomal RNA, 484 nt
Filed under: uncultured bacterium
Lineage: Bacteria
Description: partial 16S ribosomal RNA
Rfam family: Bacterial small subunit ribosomal RNA
Source: RNAcentral